Xenopus laevis (African clawed frog) is the source of this 102-nucleotide long non-coding RNA. RefSeq lists it as uncharacterized. The record is from RefSeq and is a predicted model, not a curated record. NCBI's taxonomy places the organism in Eukaryota, Metazoa, Chordata, Amphibia, Anura, Pipidae. The transcript is spliced from 3 exons.
CUGCCCUCAAAGAAUAUGGCACAUGAGGCUCUUUUGGGAGUUUUGAGCUAUUUGUUUUUAAGUAGCGCAAAAAGUAGGCCACCAAAGUGUCUCCAAACCAGU